This 468-nucleotide ribosomal RNA is filed under the name uncultured bacterium. RNAcentral's name for it is "partial 16S ribosomal RNA". It matches the Rfam family "Bacterial small subunit ribosomal RNA", at positions 28 to 507 of the family's 1533-position model. The record is from RNAcentral.
GACGAACGCUGGCGGCGUGCUUAACACAUGCAAGUCGAACGGAAAGGCCCUGCUUUUGUGGGGUGCUCGAGUGGCGAACGGGUGAGUAACACGUGAGUAACCUGCCCUUGACUUUGGGAUAACUUCAGGAAACUGGGGCUAAUACCGGAUAGGAGCUCCUGCUGCAUGGUGGGGGUUGGAAAGUUUCGGCGGUUGGGGAUGGACUCGCGGCUUAUCAGCUUGUUGGUGGGGUAGUGGCUUACCAAGGCUUUGACGGGUAGCCGGCCUGAGAGGGUGACCGGCCACAGGGGGACUGAGAUAAGGACCAGACGACGGCGGGAGGCAGCAGGGGGGAAGAUUGCACAAGGGGCGGAAGCCUGAUGCAGCAACGCCGCGGGCGGGAUGACGGCCUUCGGGUUGUAAACCGCGUUCGCCUGUGACGAAGCGUGAGGGACGGUAAUGGGUAAAGAAACACCGGCUAACUACGGG